RNAcentral lists this ribosomal RNA (434 nucleotides) under uncultured bacterium. RNAcentral's name for it is "partial 16S ribosomal RNA". It matches the Rfam family "Bacterial small subunit ribosomal RNA", at positions 29 to 507 of the family's 1533-position model. The record is from RNAcentral.
AGCGAACGCUGGCGGCAGGCCUAACACAUGCAAGUCGAACGAACCUUUCGGGGUUAGUGGCGGACGGGUGAGUAACACGUGGGAACGUGCCUUUAGGUUCGGAAUAACUCAGGGAAACUUGUGCUAAUACCGAAUGUGCCCUUCGGGGGAAAGAUUAAUCGCCUUUAGAGCGGCCCGCGUCUGAUUAGCUAGUUGGGUGAGGUAAUGGCUCACCAAGGCGACGAUCAGUAGCUGGUCUGAGAGGAGGCUCAGCCACAUUGGGACUGAGACACGGCCCAAACUCCUACGGGAGGCAGCAGUGGGGAAUCUUGCGCAAUGGGCGAAAGCCUGACGCAGCCAUGCCGCGUGAAUGAUGAAGGUCUUAGGAUUGUAAAAUUCUUUCACCGGGGACGAUAAUGACGGUACCCGGAGAAGAAGCCCCGGCUAACUUCGUG